GUGAGACAGGUGCUGCAUGGCUGUCGUCAGCUCGUGUUGUGAAAUGUUGGGUUAAGUCCCGCAACGAGCGCAACCCUUAUCCUUUGUUGCCAGCGAUUCGGUCGGGAACUCAAAGGAGACUGCCAGUGAUAAACUGGAGGAAGGUGGGGAUGACGUCAAGUCAUCAUGGCCCUUACGACCAGGGCUACACACGUGCUACAAUGGCGCAUACAAAGAGAAGCGACCU
This 226-nucleotide ribosomal RNA is filed under the name Salmonella enterica subsp. enterica serovar Oranienburg. RNAcentral describes it as "partial 16S ribosomal RNA". It matches the Rfam family "Bacterial small subunit ribosomal RNA", at positions 1029 to 1255 of the family's 1533-position model. The record is from RNAcentral. RNAcentral also lists the same sequence under 1 other name. Lineage: Bacteria; Pseudomonadati; Pseudomonadota; Gammaproteobacteria; Enterobacterales; Enterobacteriaceae.